Molecule: ribosomal RNA, 428 nt
Filed under: uncultured bacterium
Lineage: Bacteria
Description: bacterial SSU rRNA
Rfam family: Bacterial small subunit ribosomal RNA
Source: RNAcentral
UAGGGAAUCUUCCGCAAUGGACGAAAGUCUGACGGAGCAACGCCGCGUGAGUGAAGAAGGUUUUCGGAUCGUAAAACUCUGUUGUCAGAGAAGAACAAGUCGGAGAGUAACUGCUCCGGCCUUGACGGUAUCUGACCAGAAAGCCACGGCUAACUACGUGCCAGCAGCCGCGGUAAUACGUAGGUGGCAAGCGUUGUCCGGAUUUAUUGGGCGUAAAGCGAGCGCAGGCGGUUCCUUAAGUCUGAUGUGAAAGCCCACGGCUUAACCGUGGAAGGUCAUUGGAAACUGGGGAACUCGAGUGCAGAAGAGGAGAGUGGAAUUCCAUGUGUAGCGGUGAAAUGCGUAGAUAUAUGGAGGAACACCAGUAGCGAAGGCGACUCUCUGGUCUGUAACUGACGCUGAGGCUCGAAAGCGUGGGGAGCAAACAG